AAUAUUGGACAAUGGGGGCAACCCUGAUCCAGCCAUGCCGCGUGUGUGAAGAAGGUCUUCGGAUUGUAAAGCACUUUAAGUUGGGAGGAAGGGCUUUAGGUUAAUACCCUGAAGUUUUGACGUUACCAACAGAAUAAGCACCGGCUAACUCUGUGCCAGCAGCCGCGGUAAUACAGAGGGUGCAAGCGUUAAUCGGAAUUACUGGGCGUAAAGGGCGGGUAGGUGGUUUCAGAAGAUGGGUGUGAAAUCCCCGGGGUUAACCUGGGGACUGCUUUCAUAACUGCUGAGCUAGAGUACGGGAGAGGGUAGGGGAAAUUCCUGUGUAGCGGUGAAAUGCGUAGAUAUAAGGAGGAACACCAGUGGCGAAGGCGACUAACUGGACUGAUACUGACACUGAGGUGCGAAAGCGUGGGGAGCAAA
RNAcentral lists this ribosomal RNA (420 nucleotides) under uncultured bacterium. Its description in RNAcentral is "partial 16S ribosomal RNA". It matches the Rfam family "Bacterial small subunit ribosomal RNA", at positions 360 to 772 of the family's 1533-position model. The record is from RNAcentral.